RNAcentral lists this RNase P RNA (378 nucleotides) under Henriciella sp. RNAcentral describes it as "RNase P RNA component class A". It matches the Rfam family "Bacterial RNase P class A". Rfam says of the family: Ribonuclease P (RNase P) is a ubiquitous endoribonuclease, found in archaea, bacteria and eukarya as well as chloroplasts and mitochondria. Its best characterised activity is the generation of mature 5'-ends of tRNAs by cleaving the 5'-leader elements of precursor-tRNAs. Lineage: Bacteria; Pseudomonadati; Pseudomonadota; Alphaproteobacteria; Hyphomonadales; Hyphomonadaceae. The record is from RNAcentral. RNAcentral also lists the same sequence under 1 other name.
UCAGAUGGCCGGGCAGUCGCUGGACAUGGGGUAAUCCGUGUCUGGAGGAAAGUCCGGGCUCCAUAGAGACAAGGCGGCGGAUAAUGUCCGCCCGGUGUGAACCGAGGGAAAGUGCCACAGAGAGCAGACCGCCCCUUAUAGAGGGGUAAGGGUGAAAGGGUGGGGUAAGAGCCCACCGGGGAUCUGGUAACAGAGCCCGCACGGUAAACCCCGCCUGGAGCAAGACCAAAUAGGGGAUGCAUAUGAGCUGUCUUUGGUUCGCAUCCCGGGUGUGUCGCAUCAGGCAUCGUGUGAACGGUGUCGCAGAGGAAUGACUGCCGAUCCGGCGCUCCGAAAGGGUCCGGUGAACAGAACCCGGCUUAUAGGCCAUCUGAUCGA